Molecule: ribosomal RNA, 198 nt
Filed under: uncultured bacterium
Lineage: Bacteria
Description: partial 16S ribosomal RNA
Rfam family: Bacterial small subunit ribosomal RNA
Source: RNAcentral
ACGCUCGACACCUACUGGAGGCAGCAGUGGGGAAUAUUGCACAAUGGGGGAAACCCUGAUGCAGCGACGCCGCGUGAGCGAAGAAGUAUUUCGGUAUGUAAAGCUCUAUCAGCAGGGAAGAUAAUGACGGUACCUGACUAAGAAGCUCCGGCUAAAUACGUGUCAGCAGCCGCGGUAAUCUGAGCGGGCUGGCAAGGC